CACCACAAGGCAAUCCCUCACUGCAUCUUAUAACAGGUAUUCUGCUCAAUCACAAGCUUGCCACUAAAAUCCCCUUUCAUCCAGCUUAGAAGCCACAUGAUCAGUAUCUCCGAGCCUUACUAGAAGCGAAAGAGUGAGAAAAGUAAGGGGGCAGAAAAAAAUGGCAGAAACCCUCAGCUACUUACUUGCAAAUAUUAGGACAAGAUCUUACCAGAUCUAAAAUGAUUUUCCAGAUUGCUUACCUCGCGCGAUGCGCGCCAAACCGAUCUGCAAAGUUUUGAAGUUGGAAGACAGUUUCAGGGUUAAAACUAGCGGAUGCUUUUGGUGCUCUUCUUGGUUUCUUCCACAGCCUUACCAUCACCAGAAUCUGAACGGCAAUCUGCAUCUCAU
RNAcentral lists this long non-coding RNA (390 nucleotides) under Citrus x clementina. Its description in RNAcentral is "Citrus clementina (C. clementina) long non-coding RNA (CCLE_LNC006764)". The record is from RNAcentral. Lineage: Eukaryota; Viridiplantae; Streptophyta; Magnoliopsida; Sapindales; Rutaceae.